This 175-nucleotide unclassified non-coding RNA is filed under the name uncultured Herpotrichiellaceae. RNAcentral's name for it is "sequence contains ITS1". Lineage: Eukaryota; Fungi; Ascomycota; Eurotiomycetes; Chaetothyriales; Herpotrichiellaceae. The record is from RNAcentral.
CCGAGUUAGGGUCUUAUAGGCCCGACCUCCAACCCUUUGUUUAUUAUACCAUGUUGCUUUGGUAGGCCCGCCUUUCGAGGCCGCCGGGGGCUUACAUGCUCUUGGUCAGUGCCUGCCAGUAGCCUUAUUAAAUUCUUUCAUAAUUAUGUUGUCUGAAUAUAAAUAUAAAUCGUUA